MicroRNA precursor from Melopsittacus undulatus (budgerigar), 89 nucleotides. The record is from Ensembl. Lineage: Eukaryota; Metazoa; Chordata; Aves; Psittaciformes; Psittaculidae.
UUGCUGCUAACGAAUGCUCUGACUUUAUUGCACUACUGUACUUCACAGCUAGCAGUGCAAUAGUAUUGUCAAAGCAUCUGAAAGCAGAG